Molecule: long non-coding RNA, 1686 nt
Organism: Pseudopipra pipra
Lineage: Eukaryota; Metazoa; Chordata; Aves; Passeriformes; Pipridae
Exons: 5
Source: RefSeq, a predicted model, not a curated record
GUCUUUUACUCCGUGUUCCCAGGCUCCCUCUUUCCCUUCGGUCGACGUGGGUGUGCCGGACGCCUCUGGCAGGACUAACCCCGUGGCUUUUAUGUCCAACGUGCUGUGCUGCGUGUGCCUGCAGGGGAAGACUUUCUGGCAAGCGGUGCCAGAAAGAACUGGAGUUUCUGGAGAAUGAAAGCUGGAGGCGUGCCCCCGAUAAUCCUCGCCCCGGGUGGUGAGUGGUCUGACUUGCAGGGACCGGUGGCCUUGGCCAGGAGCGGUCCUGCCGGACUGUAAUUUUAAUUUCCUGCCCAGGCUGUAAUUUUAAUUUCCCUUGGAUGCUUGGCAAAGCCCCUCUGGGGGAGCCCCGGUGCCUGGCAGGAGCAGAGCGGGCUUCCAGGGAGGCAUUCACCCGGUCAGCGUCAGGAACCAUCCUAACUGAGGCCUCGGCUCCCUCUUUCCCUUCGGUCGACGUGGGUGUGCCGGACGCCUCUGGCAGGACUAACCCCAUGGCUUUUAUGUCCAACGUGCUGUGCUGCGUGUGCCUGCAGUAUCCUGUCCAAGACCAAGCUACCUUUCCUUGUGGGAAUGGACUGGCCGGGCUUUGGCAGUCUAGCCCCUCGAAAGACUAAAGUGACCUCUUCCAGCAGGGGAAGACUUUCUGGCAAGCGGUGCCAGAAAGAACUGGAGUUUCUGGAGAAUGAAAGCUGGAGGCGUGCCCCCGAUAAUCCUCGCCCCGGGUGGUGAGUGGUCUGACUUGCAGGGACCGGUGGCCUUGGCCAGGAGCGGUCCUGCCGGACUGUAAUUUUAAUUUCCUGCCCAGGCUGUAAUUUUAAUUUCCCUUGGAUGCUUGGCAAAGCCCCUCUGGGGGAGCCCCGGUGCCUGGCAGGAGCAGAGCGGGCUUCCAGGGAGGUAUUCACCUGGUCAGCGUCAGGAACCAUCCUAACUGAGGCCUCGGCUCCCUCUUUCCCUUCGGUCGACGUGGGUGUGCCGGACGCCUCUGGCAGGACUAACCCCGUGGCUUUUAUGUCCAACGUGCUGUGCUGCGUGUGCCUGCAGGUAAGAAAAGCUGGGAGUGCGGUCCCUCUGCUUUGCUUGCUGUGUCUCUUUGGUAGUGAUUUUGGAGGGGAAUCCCAGAGCGAUUUGGUUUGAAGGGGACCUUCAAAGGCCACCCUGUCUUCCGUGGGCAGGGACACCUUCCCCUCUCAUCCCCGGUUGCUCCAAGUCCCGUCCAGCCUGGCCUGGAACACUUGCAGGGAUCCAGGGGCAGGCUCAGCUUCCCUGUGCAGUGUGCUCUAAUAUCUCUCCACUGGCAUCCUGAAAAAUGUUGUCAGCGUGUUUUGUUGGACGCCGGUAAGCGGGACCCGGGUGAAAAGGACAUUCUCUGAGGUGCUGGGAGAAGGAGGACUCGUGCGGGCACCUCCAGAGACAGCGGGAACGGGAGCGUGCUGCGGAGAAGGAAAAUUCCAGGGGGUGGGUGCCGAGAAAUUUGUCCUUCCCUUGCCCUGUGCUCUGCACUCAGCAAUGGGUCAAGUGCAGAAGUUUCCUGGGGACCCUGGAAAAUGAGGCCGGGUCUGCCAAGAAAAGUGGGGCCAAAGGAGCAGGACCUGGGUCUGCGAGCGUGGGAGAAACAAGGGCCGGGUCAUCCUCUGCCUCCAGGAGGGAGGGCAGCAGGAAAGGCCACGGACUAAAGCACUGAAGUGC